RNAcentral lists this ribosomal RNA (497 nucleotides) under uncultured bacterium. RNAcentral describes it as "partial 16S ribosomal RNA". It matches the Rfam family "Bacterial small subunit ribosomal RNA", at positions 28 to 507 of the family's 1533-position model. The record is from RNAcentral.
GAUGAACGCUGGCGGCGUGCCUAAUACAUGCAAGUCGAGCGAACAGACGAGGCGCUUGCUCCUCUGACGUUAGCGGCGGACGGGUGAGUAACACGUGGAUAACCUACCUAUAAGACUGGGAUAACUUCGGGAAACCGGAGCUAAUACCGGAUAAUAUAUUGAACCGCAUGGUUCAUUAGUGAAAGACGGUUUUGCUGUCACUUAUAGAUGGAUCCGCGCCGCAUUAGCUAGUUGGUAAGGUAACGGCUUACCAAGGCAACGAUGCGUAGCCGACCUGAGAGGGUGAUCGGCCACACUGGAACUGAGACACGGUCCAGACUCCUACGGGAGGCAGCAGUAGGGAAUCUUCCGCAAUGGGCGAAAGCCUGACGGAGCAACGCCGCGUGAGUGAUGAAGGUCUUCGGAUCGUAAAACUCUGUUAUUAGGGAAGAACAAAUGUGUAAGUAACUAUGCACGUCUUGACGGUACCUAAUCAGAAAGCCACGGCUAACUACGUG